Columba livia (rock pigeon) is the source of this 328-nucleotide long non-coding RNA. RefSeq lists it as uncharacterized. The record is from RefSeq and is a predicted model, not a curated record. Lineage: Eukaryota; Metazoa; Chordata; Aves; Columbiformes; Columbidae. The transcript is spliced from 3 exons.
CAGAUACAACUCUGAAACCACUGUACUUUAUCUACAGGUCUUCAACAGGAAGUAACAGGAACAUAGUUGUGACUCGUAGAAGAAGGUCUCCUAUAUAUAGGCACAUGCCGAAUAUGACAUCUAGGAAGGAGAAAUCAAAAACAUAAACAGGAGCUAAAAGAGAAGACAAUAGUUCUUCAGAAAAAGUUCAAAGUGGAUGUUGAAUCAUUUUACAAGUCAACAAUGUGACAUUUUGACAUAUAAAGUAAAUAUUAUGCUGUCUCAUGCCUUUGAGAUUUUGGAUUAAGGAAUAACAUCUGAAUCACUGACGACUUAGCACGUUCUACUG